GCUACGGGGAGCAGCAGUGGGGAAUAUUGGGCAAUGGAGGAAACUCUGACCCAGCAACGCCGCGUGAAGGAUGAAGGUUUUCGGAUUGUAAACUUCUGUCGCGAGGGACGAAGAAUGACGGUACCUCGUAAGAAAGCCCCGGCUAACUACGUGCCAGCAGCCGCGGUAAUACGUAGGAUGCGAGCGUUAUCCGGAUUUAUUGGGUUUAAAGGGUGCGUAGGCGGGCAUUUAAGCCGGCGGUCAAAUGUCGGGGCUCAACCCCGGCCUGCCGUCGGAACUGGGUGCCUUGAGUGGGCGAGAAGGAUGCGGAAUGCGUGGUGUAGCGGUGAAAUGCAUAGAUAUCACGCAGAACCCCGAUUGCGAAGGCAGCAUACCGGCGCCCUACUGACGCUGAGGCACGAAAGUGCGGGUAUCGAACAGGAUUAGAUACCCCAGUAGUC
This 440-nucleotide ribosomal RNA is filed under the name uncultured bacterium. Its description in RNAcentral is "partial 16S ribosomal RNA". It matches the Rfam family "Bacterial small subunit ribosomal RNA", at positions 338 to 795 of the family's 1533-position model. The record is from RNAcentral.